AAUUAUUAAUUGUAAAUAAAUAUGAAACAUUACAGUUAGCAAAAGCAACAAUGUCCUAUUUUGCUUUUAUAUAUUCCACAAGAUGAUGAAACAGAAUAUAUCACAGAAAAUAGGAAAGUGUACAAAAAUAUAGUCAUAUUUCUUAUAUCUAAGAUACAAAAGAUUAUAACUCUGAGAAUAAAACAUCUAAAGGUUUUUCUCCUAAGAAGAUAAUAAUAAUUUUAAGAUUAAUUACAAUAAGAUUAUACAUUUAUCAAUAUUAAAAGUAUUAUGCUGCUAUGUUUAUUAGUUAUAGGUAUUAGUUAUAGUUUAGUAGUUAUAACAAAACUGAGCACAUUAUUGCACUACUUUUAUUUUCAUUACGCGUCAAAUCACAAAUUUAAUGCAUUAUAUUUCUUAAAAGCAUAUAUGCUUGUCAAAUAUUAUUACAAACAUUUUAGUAUUAUGCUAUAGUCAUAUAUAAUAUAAAUAUCUGCUAACAAAUAAAAUAGACCAACUUCACAGCGAAGCACAUAAAACAUUUAUCUUUCAAAUAAUGUUAUUUGCUCUUAUACAGCAAUUAAACCAGUAAUAAGAUAAUACUUUAAAGUAGAUGUUUCCAAGAUUGGAACGUACGUAUAAGCAUAGCGGAAUAUAAUAAAGAAUAUCAUAACGGAAAUAAGAGAAACAAGCAUCCCUGCGUGCGUUUCCUAAGAAAUACUCUCCUAUCUUAAUAUGACAUUUUUUUCUUAUAUGAAAUAAAACACAUGUUACAUUUUAUGCAUUAUUAAAUCGAUUGCUUAACGUUAAGUCAUUUACACUGCACCCUAUUUCAUCAUUACACAUAAUUUACAGCAAAUUACAUCGAAUUGAAGAAAUUUACCUUUUAAACUAUACUAAAAAAAAAAAUGAGAUAGAAUAAUGGUGCGAUCGAUAAAGGAAGAGGGGGAAAAUAAUAUGCGUCACUUUCUUUCCCGCAGUCACAUGUGUUCUAAACGUCGCGCUGAUAUGAUCUGUCUCGAAGCAGAAUAUUUUAAUCUCAACAGAAUUCUUUUGCAGUCUAUUGCAUUAUGGCCAUUACAACAAUCAAAACUGGUUCAAUUCCAGUCGACUUUAAUUUUAAUUAUUCUAAUAACGGCUAUUAUGUGUGAGGUAACUACAUUAAUAAUGUCGAAAGUAAGUCCCAAAAUUGUCGUUACCGUUUUAUCUCGUACACUUUUCUUGAUGCUUUUGAUCGUACAUUACAGUGCAUUUCGAAUUAAUAUAAAAAGUAUAAAGAAUUUACUUCAACAAGUUCAUCAUGUAUGUACCAAAUUAACAGAUAAAAACGAAAUUGCUAUAAUACAACAAUAUGGUUGGGAGGCAAAACGUUAUACGACCACACUUCUUGUAGCUCUCUGUAGCGAAGGAACCGGUUUUUUUCUCAGUCAAAUUGCAGUAGCUUUUUAUAAAGUGGAUUUAUCCAUAAACGGAACUCGUCCACCUCGUUUGCAAAUAGCAACCGAGAAUAUUCUUGGUGAACAAAACUUUUUCCACUUAAUUCUGCUGCACAUAGAUACAGCUAUAAUUCUUGGAGUAAUAGCAUGGAUAGCGAUGGGAACAUUCAUGAUUGCAUAUCUACAACAUACAUGCGGAAUGUUCAAGAUUGCCUGUUAUCGCAUCGAAAAUGCGAUAGGAAUAAACAUCUCAAAGGACAUUAAUCAAAAGAGAGGACCUUCGAUAUCUGAAAAAAUAAUUUGUGCAGUAAAUAUUCAUCGGGAAGCUAUGAGAUUAUCCGAGCAUUUAAUAUCCAUGUUUGAUCCCAUGUACUUAUGUUUAACAGUGACUUCGGUGAUUACUGUGAGCCUCAACUUUUUUCAAGUACAGCAUUCCCUGGUACAUGUGUCCCCCCCAUAUACAAAGGCUGAUACUGUUUCUUUUGGAAAGAAAAACUAAAGAAUUUCAUUUAACUUGCGGAGGAUUAUUCAUAGCAUCGUUCGAAUGUCUUGCAACGUUAGCAAAAGCAACGAUGUCCUAUUUUGCUUUUAUAUAUUCCGCAUGAUUUUGAAACAGGAUAUAUCACAAAAAAUAGGAAAGUGUACAAAACUAUAGUCAUAGUUCUUAUAUCUAUGUUACAAAAGAUUAUAACUCUGAGAAUAAAUAAAACAUCUAAAGGUA
RNAcentral lists this unclassified non-coding RNA (2136 nucleotides) under Ooceraea biroi (clonal raider ant). RNAcentral's name for it is "uncharacterized LOC105286929, transcript variant X1". Lineage: Eukaryota; Metazoa; Arthropoda; Insecta; Hymenoptera; Formicidae. The record is from RNAcentral.